Sitodiplosis mosellana (orange wheat blossom midge) is the source of this 3053-nucleotide RNA transcript. RefSeq lists it as uncharacterized. The transcript is spliced from 4 exons. Lineage: Eukaryota; Metazoa; Arthropoda; Insecta; Diptera; Cecidomyiidae. The record is from RefSeq and is a predicted model, not a curated record.
AUAGCAACAUUAGGAGUUGUUCAGUUGUAUUCGCUCAACCAAAACAGAUUUUGAUAUUUAAAACUCAAAGUGCAAAUUCAUUCUCCAUAUAUUUUUCGUUUCCACAGAAAUCAAGUGAAAAUGAAUCUAAUAUUUCUUCUAUAUUUAUUCGUGUGUUUGAUGUCAAUAUUAUCAAGCGAUGCCCAAAAAGCUGAAUCUGACUUGAAUUUCAUUGGAACACAAAUAAUGGAACAGUUUUUCCGUGCAAGAAAUUCUACUUUGUCCACGGACUGCUUGCGUCAACUGAAGAAAAGAAUCGGUGUUGAGUUCGUCGUCGAGAAAGUUUAUCGCAAAAAAUUAAUCAAUAAACAUGAGGGGCUCAAUAGACAAUUGUACAAUGUAAACGAAGCGUUUGCCCGAAAUCCGAAUGGUAUAAAGCAAGACGUUCAGCUGGAAACAUUUUUCGUAACGGAUGCCACUGAAACCUACCGCAUAAACAUAAGCAAGGUUGAAGGGCUUAUGGGUGCCUUUCAAUUUCCAUCCAUACAAAAUCGAAAGAUUUUCGUGGUAUUUGUCGGUUCAAAUGAACUGUAUUACUCUGUCGACAAACCAUUGCGUCUAGCGACACAACAAAUGAAAAUUAAAAUGGAUCCAAUGUCUUUGUGUCGUGUAAAUUUUAAUUACUACACUUUUGAUAGUGUAUGGAACUACGAAGUCGCAUUUGAAAUCAGUAAUACAACAACGAUACAAUUUCCGUACAAUUUGCAAGAGCCAUGUCCAUCGAAACAGUCGCCAAGGCUAUCACUGAAUGUGUGCAGCUUCUUCGCCCAAAAUCUCAACUUCGUCGAAUCAAUUAAUUAUAACAACGAGCAACAAAUACAAUUGGAACAUACAAAUGGAAAGUAUGUUUUGAAAGGCUUCCCAUUGAUUGAACAAUUAUCGAGUGCCGAAGUUGGGACAGUUAUUUCGGACAAGGACGACCUUUGAUAUUUUCCAUCGAAUUCCGUGAAUGAAACAAUGUAAACAGUUUACAACAUCAGCAUAUUUUAGAAUAGAACCCAUGAAGAAAACAUGGGAAAACCCCCGAAGAAUUCGAAAAAAAAAUCUAUUAACACACCUAAAAAACACCUAAAAAUUGGAAUCAUGUUUAUGUUUACUCUGAAUAUAUAUUGCACACCAGACAUAAACAAUUGUUAUCAUGUUUAGCUCAAAUAUUUGCUGGGCUAUCAUGACUUAACCUCUGCCUGAAUCAUCAACAACAAAAACAGUUCCGCGUGAAUCAAAACAAGAAAAUAUGUAUAUUGACCGAUUGCAAACUCUUCCAAUUCCAUUAUAUUUCAAUCACUCAAUAACAGAAUGUAACAUUUGUGAUUUAAACUCGUUUGACUGCACACUUUUCUCGUGUAAUUAAAAUCGACCAGUCGCUACAUGUUGUUGAUUUACAGUACACAGUUCAUAUUUUUAGCUAGUUUAGCAUUUUAUUACAGUUUUGAAAAAAAAAAAUCCGAUUAGCAUAAUGUUACCGCACACACCUUUCGUUUUUGUCGUUUUAAUCGCCGUUUUUGGGACACAUUUUUGCGCUGAGAUUGGCAUUUUUACGUGUAAAUUCCAUGGGAAGGUCUACGGUGAAUUGGAUGUGUUUGAUUCGGGUGUAAAUGGCUGUUCCAAGUGUAUAUGUGUGGAAACUCGAGUUUAUUGUAACACAACACGAUGCCCAGGAAGAUCGACCGAGCCACCUACACUGAUGCCAACUUUUCUGACCCAUCCAACUAAUCUACCGAUCGAAACUAAUUCUGAAGUUGACGACAUGAAUGUAAACGAUCCAAAACAAGAAGUUGAAGAAGUGAAUGUAAUAAGUACAGAAGAAAUUGCUUAUCGGCCGUAUCAAUUUGGGUCUGGGCCCGUUUAUCAAAAUCGUGCCCAUGUUAACAUCCAUCAAUUCGGUAGUGGAGUUGAUAAACAAAAACAGAUUCAGUGUCCGAAUGGAAUGUGCUAAGAUAAUUAGUUUUUACAACAACAACAAAAAAACAGAUGCAUAGACUAAUUGAAAAAUAUUUACCAAACAAAAUCUAAACACAGAGAUCAGGGUCAGGUGAAGUAUACAAGAAAUGUAAACACAUUUUUAUCAAUAAUGUAAUAGCUAUGGGAAACAGCAGUUGAGAAUAAAACUUGAGCCAGUAAAAUCCAUUGAACUAAGAGAUAAAAUAAAAUCAGAAUCUCCGCAAUUCGAAAGUGUAUUCAUUAAUGGUAUUAAAAUGGAAAGUGGCCGUAAGUGAUGAACAUGAACACUUCGUUCAUUUAGUUUGAAAGUUGAGUAAUGCGUUCAUUUUUAGCAGACGAUAAAUUUUCGAGUCACAAAAUGGAUUACUUGACUUUGAUUUCCACUAUAUAGUGAUUGUUUUUAGCACAAAGCCUUUGAUUUUAUAUUGAUGGGAAUGGAGCUGGGUGGGGUAAGAUUUUUCAAUUGAAGCGACAUGAAUUUAUUGAAGUGUUGUCACAUCAUAAAAUUGGAUGGGACUGAGUGGAGUGCGUCGCUUGGACUUGGAUGUGGUAAGGUGAGCUGGGUGAAGGUGAACCGAAACAUCAAUAAUACCGAGUGUCGAUAUCAAAUGCGACGAUUUUCCCCAUCCACUUUUCAAAGUCUGGCGUUAGAUCAAAGACGUAUGGGUUUACAUGAAGUCAUGGCAACUUUUUUUCUCUUUUCUAAGCCAAACAUAAUCUAGAAACCGUGAGCGUGCCGAUGACGACAACGCCGCCGCCAUUGACAGCCAAACAAAAACUCGUCGAUAUCAUCCGCCGUUUUUUUUUCGGUGUAAACAUCUCGAUUUCAUCACUUCGGAUGGAUCGACUCGGUGAUGGUGUCGCGCCGUGAGACGAUAUGUGCAUGUUUUUGUUCAACAUUAAUCGGAUACGCGAGCCACAUUUCCGAUGCAUUUGAAAAAAAGAACCAAUAUUUUGUUCGCUUUUACUAAAUACACACACUUUUCAAUUGAAUGCGUUGCCACCGCAUCACAGUCGCAAUAAAUAAAUAAAUCGUUCAUUUGUGUGAUGUACACAACCACACUAUCGAACCA